CUAGAGCUUUUUCAAAGCUCGGCUUCUGGAUAUUGGGAAGAAAGACCGCUCGAGGACGACGGCUGCGCGUGCGUCCCAUCGAAUUUUUUUUUAUACCACCUGAACGACUAAAGUUUCGUCUAGUUCGUUGCCUACCGUCGCAUAUAAUCCCGUUCAGAGGGGACCGCAGACUGUCUAUCCUCGUUGUCGUGAGUCGGACACCCGUGCCGUCGCUAGAGUUUUUUCAAAGCUCGGCUUCUGGAUAUUGGGAAGAAAGACCGCGCGAGGCCGAGGGUCGCGCGAGUCCCAUCGAAUCUUUACAUCACCCGAACGAUGGAGGCGCACGCUCUUUUUCUUGAAUAAUUGGACGAGAGGAAUGCGUAGUAUCGUAUUAUACACACACACACACAUAUAUAUAUAUAUAUAUAUGGGCUAGCCACCGUGCGUAUUUCUUCGCGAGAUCGUGUGCUGAACAGAGGAUUCAGAAUCGGGUGUUAUAUCCCCGUCGUUUCCUGACGAACGGAGCUUCGAUCUCGAU
RNAcentral lists this unclassified non-coding RNA (517 nucleotides) under Bombus terrestris (buff-tailed bumblebee). RNAcentral's name for it is "misc RNA ENSBTSG00005029851.1". Lineage: Eukaryota; Metazoa; Arthropoda; Insecta; Hymenoptera; Apidae. The record is from RNAcentral.